GACGAACGCUGGCGGCGUGCCUAAUACAUGCAAGUAGAACGCUGAAGCUUGGUGCUUGCACCGAGCGGAUGAGUUGCGAACGGGUGAGUAACGCGUAGGUAACCUGCCUGGUAGCGGGGGAUAACUAUUGGAAACGAUAGCUAAUACCGCAUAAAAUGGAUUAUCGCAUGAUAAUCCAUUGAAAGGUGCAAAUGCAUCACUACCAGAUGGACCUGCGUUGUAUUAGCUAGUUGGUGGGGUAACGGCUCACCAAGGCGACGAUACAUAGCCGACCUGAGAGGGUGAUCGGCCACACUGGGACUGAGACACGGCCCAGACUCCUACGGGAGGCAGCAGUAGGGAAUCUUCGGCAAUGGACGGAAGUCUGACCGAGCAACGCCGCGUGAGUGAAGAAGGUUUUCGGAUCGUAAAGCUCUGUUGUAAGAGAAGAACGAGUGUGAGAGUGGAAAGUUCACACUGUGACGGUAUCUACCAGAAA
This 478-nucleotide ribosomal RNA is filed under the name Streptococcus sp. oral taxon 070. RNAcentral describes it as "bacterial SSU rRNA". It matches the Rfam family "Bacterial small subunit ribosomal RNA", at positions 28 to 489 of the family's 1533-position model. Lineage: Bacteria; Bacillati; Bacillota; Bacilli; Lactobacillales; Streptococcaceae. The record is from RNAcentral.